Molecule: ribosomal RNA, 245 nt
Filed under: uncultured bacterium
Lineage: Bacteria
Description: partial 16S ribosomal RNA
Rfam family: Bacterial small subunit ribosomal RNA
Source: RNAcentral
UACAGAGGGUGCGAGCGUUGUUCGGAAUCAUUGGGCGUAAAGGGCGUGUAGGCGGCCAGGCACGUCGGGCGUGAAAGCCCCCGGCUCAACCGGGGAAGUGCGCUCGAAACCGCCUGGCUCGAGUGCCGGAGAGGGUGGCGGAAUUCCCGGUGUAGAGGUGAAAUUCGUAGAUACCGGGAGGAACACCAGUGGCGAAGGCGGCCACCUGGAAGGUCACUGACGCUGAGGCGCGAAAGCGUGGGGAG